This 587-nucleotide ribosomal RNA is filed under the name uncultured bacterium. RNAcentral's name for it is "bacterial SSU rRNA". It matches the Rfam family "Bacterial small subunit ribosomal RNA", at positions 338 to 916 of the family's 1533-position model. The record is from RNAcentral.
CCUACGGGAGGCAGCAGUGGGGAAUUUUGGACAAUGGGCGCAAGCCUGAUCCAGCCAUGCCGCGUGAGUGAAGAAGGCCUUCGGGUUGUAAAGCUCUUUCGGCCGGGAAGAAAUCGUGUUCUCUAACAUAGGACAUGGAUGACGGUACCGGACUAAGAAGCACCGGCUAACUACGUGCCAGCAACCGCGGUAAUACGUAGGGUGCGAGCGUUAAUCGGAAUUACUGGGCGUAAAGCGUGCGCAGGCGGUUUUGUAAGACAGAUGUGAAAUCCCCGGGCUUAACCUGGGAACUGCGUUUGUGACUGCAAGGCUAGAGUACGGCAGAGGGGGGUGGAAUUCCUGGUGUAGCAGUGAAAUGCGUAGAUAUCAGGAGGAACACCGAUGGCGAAGGCAGCCCCCUGGGCCUGUACUGACGCUCAUGCACGAAAGCGUGGGGAGCAAACAGGAUUAGAUACCCUGGUAGUCCACGCCCUAAACGAUGUCGACUAGUCGUUCGGAGCAGCAAUGCACUGAGUGACGCAGCUAACGCGUGAAGUCGACCGCCUGGGGAGUACGGCCGCAAGGUUAAAACUCAAAUGAAUUGACGG